AUGAAACCUUCACCUUGUAAUGACCCCAAGGUGUCUGCUCCUUUGGGAGAACCUCUGCUCCUUCACCCUGGAUACUUUUAUGCUUCCAACUUGGCAGAGCAUGGUUUGGGCUCACAGAUCUUGUCCUCAGAUGGCCACAGACCCUGUCCUCCUGCAAAUGGGGGUCAAACCUCUGCACCCAAAAGACAGCCUGUUUGGGAGAGCAGCUUGGAAACAGGUGAGGGUACCAUCGACCCCUCACAAGUCCCUGCUGACCCCAAGCAUUGUUCUCUGAGCUGUGGGGGGCAGUGCUGGGGGCAGUCCAGCAGGGCCAUCUCCUCCAGCCCCCUCCUGGACCCACACCUCUGCUGCCCAGCACCAGCAGGCCCAGAGCUGCUCUGCCUCUGGCUGCCCCGUGCCCCCGGGGCUCCUCAGCCCUCCGGAGCGACGCACUGGGGCCCAGCCCAGUCCCGAAGAGAGCAGCCCCUGCCCGGCUGCGGCCCAGCCCUGCCAGGCACAGCGCAAGGGCUGCCGAGCCCCAGGGCUGCCGUGGGGAGGGGGCUGGGACCCCAGGGGAGACAGGGCAUUGCCCGCACCAAGGCACCUAGCACUGGCCUAUCAGGCACUGAGCCACAAGUGACCUCGCAACCACAAACAGCAGCCAUGCACCUAGCACUGGCCUAUCAGGCACUGAGCCACCACUGACCUCACAACCACAAACAGCAGCCAUGCGCCUAGCACUGGCCUAGCAGGCACUGAGCCACCACUGACC
Long non-coding RNA from Apteryx haastii (Great spotted kiwi), 751 nucleotides. The record is from Ensembl. Lineage: Eukaryota; Metazoa; Chordata; Aves; Apterygiformes; Apterygidae.